AGUCACUGUCACUGUCACGAUUUAUCUUUUUUUAGUUACUGUUUAGUUUAGUUUUUCUAAUUCUAAAAUAAUUGAUUUUAAACUCUUUAAAAACCUUUACCAGAGACUUGACGAAACGGGUUCAUUCAGGCCAAGCGAGAUGUUGGGCAUCCAAAUAAACGUAAUGUGGACCAAGAAGAAGAAGUGUUAGUCCAGGUUGCUGAAGAUCCAGAAAUAAGUGUAAGGUGUAUGGCGGCAAGAACUGGAAUUAGAAUGUCAUUUACCAAAACUUACGUGUAACUGAGGGUAUCUUCAGGUAUACAGGAUAAAAUUUUAAGAGACUCAUCAAAAUUGCCUUUAAGGUAAUGCAAAUUAGCCGAGAGGAAUAGUGCUUCAAUCUUCUAGAAAAGCAAAACUGGUAUUUCCCUCGUAGCAAUACUUAAAGAGUGAUUUAGAAGGUAGCAUCUCACUUUAUAUUUUAACAAUUUUUUUUGAAAGUCCUCUGGGAUGGGCUUAGCAGUAGGCAAGGGAAACUAAAAACAAAUUACUAUAUUAUCCCAAAUUUGAAAGUUUUUUAUACCUGAAAAUUAUGGGGAAGAUUAUGAUGGAACAAUAAAAUGACUUGUCUCUAACAGUAAAAAUUUACUGAGUGAAUAGCAGAGGAAUACGUCUUGCGCAUAAGGCGGGCAGCCUCCAGAAUAAAAAUUGAUGGCUUGUUAAAAUGUGAUAAUGGAUGGUGCAAGGUCGGCAACAGUCUCUAGGUUAAAAUCCACAUCACGCUUUUGCAACACAAAUGAUGGGUUUGGCAGGGUAUCCGGGGGCAUUUCCCCAAAAGUAAACCCUUAUGAUGAAGGGAGAUUCGGCUAUUAAGAAAUUUAGGGUCAUUCAAGUGUAGCUUUUAGUUCAACAAUGUCUAUAGACUAACAGGCGUUUAAUUAUUCGUAUGAACCGGUGAUUCUGAACAGCAAGAAAAUAAUCCUCAGCCCCCGAUCGUGCAAUCAGAGGAAGCAAAAGAAAAAUUUUUGAGUUCUGAGGUUUUGCAGAUACUUGGCGAUGAGCCAAUAAAUAAGACCGUCUUAGGACCUCCAAUUUAUGCCUGCUACUACUGCUUUAGUCCCUCGCUGGAGUAAUAUUUUACAGAAUGGUUUAAGUGAGGAGAAUAUUCAAGUUCUUUUCCAAAAACAUAUAAUACCCGAAAAUUUUAAGUCUCUGGAAGUACCUCAGUUAAAUCCCGAGGUUGAGGCAGCCUUAACUGCUCAAAUAUUCCACAGAGAUGAGCGCCUGGUGCGAAAACAGCAGUUUGUGGCUGCAAGCAUAUCAGCAAUUUCCCAAGCCUUAACUUUGAUGCUAGCUGAAGAAGGAGGGGGCAACAACGUAUAUAUGCAAUACCUAAGUAAUGCUGGCCGCCUAUUGUGUCAUCUACACCAUCUUGACACCAUGACACGCAAAGAUCUUAUUUCUAUAAAUUUGAAUAAGGAUCUAAAAGAUACGCUCUCUGCUGCGCCUACUGAUAAUUUUUUGUUUGAUCAAGCAUUGGAAGAACGAGUGAAGGCUGCAAAAAACCUGGAAAAAUCAGGCGAGGAACUUAAGAAGGUUAAGCCGAAAACUGCUAAGAAACCUGUCAGUCGCACUCAUUUAAACUCCAGGGGUCCAGCUCAGUUGCAGGGGAGCACCCGAGCUGGACAAUAUUACAAGAGACCUUAUUUUCAAGGGAGUUUUCAACAAAAUACAAUUUUUUCAGAUUUCAGAUGAUCUCUAAUUGAAAAUAUAAUUUCUGUUUCAGAA
Anthonomus grandis grandis is the source of this 1764-nucleotide long non-coding RNA. RefSeq lists it as uncharacterized. The record is from RefSeq and is a predicted model, not a curated record. Lineage: Eukaryota; Metazoa; Arthropoda; Insecta; Coleoptera; Curculionidae. The transcript has 5 exons.